Sinocyclocheilus rhinocerous is the source of this 364-nucleotide long non-coding RNA. RefSeq lists it as uncharacterized. The record is from RefSeq and is a predicted model, not a curated record. The transcript is spliced from 5 exons. NCBI's taxonomy places the organism in Eukaryota, Metazoa, Chordata, Actinopteri, Cypriniformes, Cyprinidae.
GUUCAUCAUGCAGGAUCUCAGAGCAUCGUUCUGAGAGGAAAACACACUGAUGUGAUCUUCCGGAUGGACUGUGCUCCACCGAAGAAUUCUAUGGAAGUGUAUUGUAAUGUUCUCUGUGGGUCUUCAGAUGAGUUCAGCCCAGCUCCAGAGUUUGACAAAAAAUCGCAGCACACACGCCGUCCGAAUAAUGCUGCAAACAGGAGCACUUCUGAUGGCAUCUUCAUCUUCCUGUCCAUCAUCAUCAUCUUCAUUUUUGUCACCUAGUUUUAUUGGGACGUUUCUGUAGGUUUUGUGGUGACGAAUUUGGAUUCUGUGACGUGGAGACCAAACCCAGAGAUGAGCCGCAAAAACACCGCAGAAAUCA